GCCGCGCCUAGGACGGCCAUCCGAAAGCCGGGCACCUUCCCCGGCUGGUGCGGCACCUUUUGAAGGG
Molecule: small RNA, 67 nt
Filed under: Dyella thiooxydans
Lineage: Bacteria; Pseudomonadati; Pseudomonadota; Gammaproteobacteria; Lysobacterales; Rhodanobacteraceae
Description: Dyella sp. ATSB10 int-alpA RNA
Rfam family: int-alpA RNA
About the family: Acidobacteria (1 example), Planctomycetes (1 example), Proteobacteria. Environment (Lake Washington)
Source: Rfam by way of RNAcentral